RNAcentral lists this ribosomal RNA (225 nucleotides) under uncultured bacterium. RNAcentral describes it as "partial 16S ribosomal RNA". It matches the Rfam family "Bacterial small subunit ribosomal RNA", at positions 524 to 748 of the family's 1533-position model. The record is from RNAcentral.
UACGAAGGGGCGAGCGUUGUUCGGAUUUACUGGGCGUAAAGGGCGCGCAGGCGGCCAUUCAAGUCAGGCGUGAAAGCCCCGGGCUUAACCUGGGAGGUGCGCUUGGGACUGGACGGCUAGAGAUCGGGAGAGGAGAGUGGAAUUCCCAGUGUAGAGGUGAAAUUCGUAGAUAUUGGGAAGAACACCGGUGGCGAAGGCGGCUCUCUGGACCGAUACUGACGCGUG